This 2431-nucleotide long non-coding RNA is filed under the name Marmota monax (woodchuck). Lineage: Eukaryota; Metazoa; Chordata; Mammalia; Rodentia; Sciuridae. The record is from RNAcentral.
AAGUAAAGAAGGGAAGAGGAAGGAAAGGGGGGAAAAGUGUGAGAUUUUAAAGCAUGACACAUAGUUGGUGAGAGCAGACCUCACAGGCACUGGCAGUUUCCAGUGACAGAGGAUGGUGAGAAACAUGAGGUCCAGGGAGGUGAGAGACAGGCAUUAGGAUGGCAAUACAGGUAAAGAUACUUUGUAAUUUUGCUCUGAGACUUUGUUGUACUGACAACUAUCACCUCCUGGAAAUCAUUUUAAGCCCAUGGUGGCCUGUAUACACAAAGUGACACAUUGCUAGGAUCUGAAAUAUGCAAAGGCAGAGACCUUGCUUUAUGGAUCCUCAUUUAACUACUACCUUGAACCAAAAUGAAACAUUGUGGGUGCUCAGUGAAUGUUGGGUUGAAUAAGCAGUGCAGUUUGAAAAUGCUAGAAGCUCUGGGGUGUAUGGAGAAAUGUUCAAGGGUCAGAAGUCUGAAAGUACAUGGUAUAUUCUGGGAAUGAUGGAACAACAAGGAAGCCAUAAAUAGUAGGAAAUGAGACAAGGAAAUGAGAAUAUCAGCCAAGACUGUUGGUGCCAACAGCACCAAGCUACUUAAGGAAAGGGUAUGUAUUGAAAUUAUGUUGGUUAUCUGACAGUUGACAGGAAAGCUGGAGAACCUGCUUUGAAAAACAGGUAACCAAGGAAGGCCAGAUAGGUAAAAACAUGGCAAGAGUUAUGUGGCAGGAAUGUGUCCCAGGAUGUUGCUGCAGGCAGGUGCUGCUGGCUUUAAAUUCACAGAGCCACGGUCAUUGAGACCUGGACUGCCCUUUUGUCUCUGUACCACUCCUUGGAGCUCCAGGGCCCCAGGCAGGAGGACUUGUCUGGCAAGCCCCAGUUUUAUUGCCACAACCUGGUUGUCAUAGGCUGGGGGAGAGGGAGGAUCUGGCCCCUUUAGGUUCUAGUGAGAGCAGUUGGGCCCUGCAGGGAAUUUCCCACCAGAAAGAGUGUUCAGAAGUUAAGAAAAAGGAGAAAAAAAAAUAAUAGAUAAUAAAGAAAUUAUAAUUUCUCAGCCAGAUUAUGAUUUACUGUCCAUUCUGAACCAAGGAGCCAGAUUUUAUCCAGAAGGAAACCAAGCCAACAGAACUUUUCAUAAAAAGAGUGUGUCAUAUCCUUUUUCCUCUUUUAGAAAAAAAUUUAGGACCGUGCCAAAGCAGGCCGAGCAGGGUAGCUGUUUGGAAAGUUGCUAUAGUAGCAUGGGCCAGGAAUAAUGAAAGCCUGGAUUAAUUGGUGGCAGUGAGGAUGGAGGUCCUUGAUUCCAGAGAAGAGCCUGAGAAGUAGAACUUUUCUUGCUGAGUCAAACCCAGGGACUUGUUUACUUCCAGGUUAGAACCAUAUGCUAAACAAGUUAUGUUUAUAUGUUUGGUUGCUGGUGACUAGGAAAUUACCUGGUGUUGCAUUUAUUAGAUCUCUUCAUCAGCAUUUUCAGAAUUAUAUACUCUUGGCAACCACUAAAGAUAACCUAUUGAUGAACGUGGAAGUUUAAUCAUGCCUGAAUGAACUUACUUAUUUUCUCAGUCAAUCAUGACUUACAUUAUAGACUUUUUUCCUCUUAAACUGUGAAGUUUACUAUGUUUCCCAUUCUUCAUUUAUAAUAUUCUCUUUUAUAAUUAAGAACUUGUGCAGAAACUGAGAAGCCCUAACAAGUUAAUUAUAGUGACAUAAAUAAUAUAUUUUAAGAUGAUAUCAUUUACGUUUCCCAGAUUCUUAAGAAAGAGGUUAGGCCAAGUUAUGCACCUCAUUAAAAAAAGGUGGCACUUUGGUGUAUAUGAAUAUGGUAUCCAAGAUUUAGAGUACUCCAUUAGCUGUGCUAUGGCCCCUAAGUGAAAGCUAUAUUAAUGAAGACUAGUGUUUUCAGUUCAGAUGCUUCUUUAAAGUAUCAGACAAGGUCUCGAAAAUAGUCAUCUCUACUGGGAAGGGUACUAAGUGAAAACAAGAGCUGGAGGCAGUUGUGCAUGUAAGAGAAUUUUUGAAGAUGACUCAGUCUCCUUCUCUUCCCUACCCCUAGUGCCACACCUCCUAUAGAUGUAGAGGCCUCAUUUUUCCACUUGGAAAGCUAAUUUGUGCUGUGCUUGGCUCUGGCUAACUAAUCUGUGCUCUCUGAAAAUCCAGAACACCUGGUAACCAAAUCCAUGGCACUCAGGAUGGAUGUUUUCUCAGAACUAUUCAGGAAAGAAAACAGAAGUAGAAAAGAAUUCCCAGUCUGUUUCUUUUCCCAGGGGAACUGACCAGUUUCCCUUGCCUUGUGGAAUUUGUGAUGUGGUGGAUAGCUAGGCCGUGUGUUCUCAUAUCCUGUGAUCAGUUAACAUUUUUCAAAACCUCACUACUGAAAGGUUUUAAAAAUAUAUAAUGAAAAACAAAGUUUUUAAAAUAUGUCAUGUGAGUUGUAAAGACUUGGUAAAAGAAAAU